RNAcentral lists this ribosomal RNA (255 nucleotides) under uncultured bacterium. RNAcentral's name for it is "partial 16S ribosomal RNA". It matches the Rfam family "Bacterial small subunit ribosomal RNA", at positions 528 to 779 of the family's 1533-position model. The record is from RNAcentral.
CGAAGGGCUAGCGUUGCUCGGAAUUACUGGACGUAAAGGGCGCGUAGGCGGCACUGUUAAGUCAGGCGUGAAAGUCCUGGGCUCAAACCUGGGGAACUGCGCUUGAUACGGCAGAGCUAGAGGAUGGAAGAGGCUCGCGGAAUUCCCAGUGUAGAGGUGAAAUUCGUAGAUAUUGGGAAGAACACCGGUGGCGAAGGCGGCGAGCUGGUCCAUUACUGACGCUGAGGCGCGACAGCGUGGGAGCAAACGAGGAUU